This is a non-coding RNA of Manis javanica (Malayan pangolin), 437 nucleotides long. The record is from RefSeq and is a predicted model, not a curated record. NCBI's taxonomy places the organism in Eukaryota, Metazoa, Chordata, Mammalia, Pholidota, Manidae.
GACAUUAGACAUAGCCCAAUUACUAUAUUAAAUCAGAUAAAAAGCAUGUUCAAAGAACCCCUGAAUAGUCUCUGGCACGCUGUCACACCUCUCUUAACCCUAAGCAUUUUAUGUCUUUUAUUGCUGUUACUAGGGCCUUGUGUCCUUCGCAACAUGUGGAAACUCAUCCAACAAGCCCUAAGAGACCUGCAUCAUUUGAAAUUGCAGACAGCUCCCCCACUUGUAAAUCAUGAGAUUUAAAGCCAAGUAUGGUAGCCAAUGACGGGAAAUAAGAGCAGCUGAUAUUUCACCAGCUGCCAUCCUCUCUGAAAUGAGCCCCUGUACCUGGGAUCCUAUAGGAUGCAAGUAAACAGAAGAGGUUCACCUGAUGUUCUUAUUUUAUGAACCAAAGAGACAUUUUAAUGCUCUAUAAAAAUAAAACAAAGUUACAAAUCAAA